RNAcentral lists this ribosomal RNA (468 nucleotides) under uncultured bacterium. Its description in RNAcentral is "partial 16S ribosomal RNA". It matches the Rfam family "Bacterial small subunit ribosomal RNA", at positions 28 to 507 of the family's 1533-position model. The record is from RNAcentral.
GACGAACGCUGGCGGCGUGCUUAACACAUGCAAGUCGAACGGAAAGGCCCUGCUUUUGUGGGGUGCUCGAGUGGCGAACGGGUGAGUAACACGUGAGUAACCUGCCCUUGACUUUGGGAUAACUUCAGGAAACUGGGGCUAAUACCGGAUAGGAGCUCCUGCUGCAUGGUGGGGGUUGGAAAGUUUCGGCGGUUGGGGAUGGACUCGCGGCUUAUCAGCUUGUUGGUGGGGUAGUGGCUUACCAAGGCUUUGACGGGUAGCCGGCCUGAGAGGGUGACCGGCCACAUUGGGACUGAGAUACGGCCCAGACUCCUACGGGAGGCAGCAGUGGGGAAUAUUGCACAAUGGACGGAAGCCUGAUGCAGCAACGCCGCGUGCGGGAUGACGGCCUUCGAGUUGUAAACCGCUUUCGCCUGUGACGAAGCGUGAGUGACGGUAAUGGGUAAAGAAGCACCGGCUAACUACGUG